UACGUAUGGUGCGAGCGUUGUCCGGAAUUAUUGGGCGUAAAGAGCUCGUAGGCGGUCUGUCGCGUCUGCUGUGAAAACUCAGGGCUUAACCCUGAGCUUGCAGUGGGUACGGGCAGACUAGAGUGCGGUAGGGGAGACUGGAAUUCCUGGUGUAGCGGUGAAAUGCGCAGAUAUCAGGAGGAACACCGGUGGCGAAGGCGGGUCUCUGGGCCGUAACUGACGCUGAGGAGCGAAAGCAUGGGGAGCGAACAGG
Molecule: ribosomal RNA, 253 nt
Filed under: uncultured bacterium
Lineage: Bacteria
Description: partial 16S ribosomal RNA
Rfam family: Bacterial small subunit ribosomal RNA
Source: RNAcentral